CUGUAUAUUAAGAAUAACCAUAGGACAUUUUCCUAGCUUGUGUCCUGAAAAAAACAAGUAGCCUAGCUGGAUAAUUAAUUGAGGUUAAUAAAAAGGGUUUAAACUUAUACAUUACAUAUGCAUUUCCUAGAAUUAAUGAAUACUUGUGAUAAUGGUUAACACAUUAUGAUCAUGUUUAUUGACAAGAAUUAUAUUUGGAAUAUGAGUAUUAAUUUUAAGUGUCUUGUUUAUUUUCAAAUUUAGAUUUAAGAAUAUUAGUCUGAGGAUUAUAAAAUGACUUAAUAGUUUGAAUUAUAAUUAUAAUCUCGGGAUUAUAAUCUUAAGUUAUGUUUGUUUACAAAGAUUAUACUUGAAAUAUAAAUAUUUAUUUCAAGUGUUUUGUUUGUUUUCAAAUUUAGACUUGACUAUUAAUCUACAAAUUAUAAAAUGACUUAAUAGUCUUUGGAUUAUAAUUAUAAUUCGGGAUAAUAAACUUAGAAUUAAUAGUCUUGGGAUUAUAAUCACAUAGAUUAUAAUCCUUACAAAUAAAUAUAACCUUAAAAUUAAUAAUCUUAAAAUUAUAAUCCUUGUAAAACAAACAUUGUUUAUGACUACAAUCUACAGAAAAAUAAAAAGAACAGAUAUACAUUAACCAUCUUAAUAACUAUUAAGAAUAACCAUAUGACAUUUUCCUAGCUUGUGACAUGAAACAAAACAAGUGGCCUACAUAAGAUUAACAGGAUUAACAGGAGUCGGAGUUGAAAAGAAGAUUCUUCAUUUUAAACAUUUACUCUUGCAUUAUAUAUGCAUUCUUAAGCACGGGUAUAUUUCUCAUAGUUAGUCAAAGACCAUAACUAGGCUGUUCUUGGACAACUCAGGGAGAAAAAAAAUGAAAAAAAAAAAGAGAAGAAGACAGAUAUACAUUAACUAUAUGUUAAGAAUAUAUAUUUAUAUAUAUAAUUUUUUUACAGCUUGUGACAUGAAACAGAUGGUCUAGCUACAAAGAUUAAAAUAGGGCUUAAAUUUAUACCAUAUACUGAUAUACAUUUCCUAAACAUGGGUAUUUCUCAUUAUACUACUACAUAACAUAUAUAACUAGGGUUUGGUAGACAAUUUAAAGGAAAAAUUAAGAUAAAUAGCCGUAUGUUUCUGACCCAGCGGCGAUAACUCUUGCAUCAUGAUUCCAUGAGGUUAAUGGUUCGAUUCUUUAGGUGUUUGAGUAUUCUUUAGGGGUGUGUGUACGCGAAAAUUAGCAAAAAAAUAAUAAAAAAAAUUAGGACAAAUAUACUCCAUCCAUUCUAAAAAGCCAAUUUAAAAUAUAUUUAAAUUUAAAAUUGACAUGAUUCAUUUAACUUCUUAAAACAAUAAAUCUUAUAAAUUAGUAGUACUUUUUAUGUAGUUUAUGAUAUUCACAAUUAUAUAUAUUGAGAUAAAUUAAACGAAUUAAUUUAAUUUUGAAUUUAAAAAUAUUUAAAAUUGACUUGUAUAUAUAUCAUAUGGUUAGGAAUAUUAAUAAUUUAACACAAUGAACUAUAUGCAUGUACUCACAAAUACUCACAUUAUGCUAUAUAUAUAUGGGCAGAUGUAGAUUUGGUUUCAGAUUAAUCAAACAGUGUACAAUCUUUUUUGAGAACAAAAAGUGUACAAUCUGGUUGAGUUAUGUAGGAUUUUAUUGUAUACUAUAUAGUAAUAUAAAAUAAUUACUACUAAUUAACAUGGCCUAGAUGGGAAAUAAUUUCCAUAUGCUAGCUAAGUUUUGUAACUUUUAUGUUGUCAUAUACUGUACUCCAUUUGAGUAGUUUCAUCAAAUGUUUCAUUGGAAGAUGGGGGUUAAAUUUAAGUUGCAACAGAUUUUUCAGUACUACCCUUGUUACACGUGUACAGAUAAGAUGUGAGUCUCAUACAAUAAAUCUGAUAAUUCUGGGUGAUGGAGUCAUUUCCCAGAAGCAUACCCAGUANNNNNNNNNNNNNNNNNNNNNNNNNNNNNNNNNNNNNNNNNNNNNNNNNNNNNNNNNNNNNNNNNNNNNNNNNNNNNNNNNNNNNNNNNNNNNNNNNNNNAAAAGUGCACCAGCCGUACCGGUCGUUAGCAGUACCGGACGCCCCCUCCCCUCCCCUCCUCCAAUUACACAAAUACACACAUUAUGCUAUAUAUGGGCAGAUGUAGAUUUGGUUUCAGAUUAAUCAAACAGUGUACAAUCUUUUUUGAGAACAAAAAAUGUACAAUCUGGUUGAGUUAUGUAGGAUUUUAAUGUAUACUAUAUAGUAAUAUAAAAUAAUUACUACUAAUUAACAUGGCCUAGAUGGGAAAUAAUUUCCAUAGGCUAGCUAAGUUUUGUAACUUUUAUGUUGUCAUAUACUGUACUCCAUUUGAGUAGUUUCAUCUCAAAUGGUUCGUUGGAAGAUGGGUGUUAAAUUUAAGUUGCAACAGAUUUUUCAGUACUACCCUUGUUACACAUGUACAGAUAAGAUGUGAGUCUCAUACAAUAAAUCUGAUAAUUCUGGGUGAUGGAGUCAUUUCCCAGAAGCAUACCAGUACAGUAGUACUAAUAAUAUUAUGCUACUAUUAUUUAUCUGCAAAGAAAACAUCAAAUCUUGAAAACAGAAACCCUAACAAAGAAGUAGAUCAAUAAGAAGAAGAUAGUUUACUUGGUUCAGACUUUAUAAUUUACAAUACUACCCUCCAUGAUAUAAUAUUAAGAACUUAAUGUAAAUCAAUCAAUCAAUUAGCUAGCUAAUAUAAUAUCACAUAAAAUACCACACAACAAAUUAAAUCAAAUCAAAUGUACGCCCACAUAAACUAUACAGAUAUGAACAAUAUAAGGAAUAUGCAUGGCUCCUCAUACGCCAUCCACGGAGCCAUCGAUGUGCCGGUGGGAUCUGCAAAUGGCAUACAGGGAGCCAGGCAUAUAUGUAUAUACAUCUUUAUGCAUGUAUGUAUGUAUGUAUCCAUUGAAUUAAUUCAUGCUCAAAAUUGUUUGACAUAUGUAUGUAUAUUUGGAAGUGCUCGAAAUUUCUCCAUUUGUCAUGUUGAACAAAUAGGGAAAUUCGUAGCGCAAUAGAAAGGAUAUUUGUGCUCCAAAUUUGUCCGUUUGCGCAUCACAAAUGGAGAAAUUUGGAGCGCAAAUAUCAUUUAAUUUCCUAUAUGUUUUGUAUAUCAGUAGAUGUAAUUAAGUUAUAACUAACAAAUUACCUCAAAUCAGGAUCACUGCAAGCAAGAUCAAGAAGGAUAAGUAAAGGGUUUGGAAUAUAUAUUUGGGAGGAUCGAGAAUUAAGAAGGAAGAGAUUUAGAAGAUCAAAUUGAGUGCCAAAAUGAAAUGGAAAAUGAAGGUUUUUAUAAGCCCAAAUAUUAAUUACUCCUUUUAUCUCAACAAAUGAAAUGAUGAAACCCCCUGCCUUUUGAAUUGGCAUAAAUUUGAUCUGCUAAUCUUUGUGGGGGAUUUUUGUGAGAUAAAGAAGGAAG
RNAcentral lists this long non-coding RNA (3439 nucleotides) under Panax ginseng (ginseng). RNAcentral's name for it is "long non-coding RNA (PGIN_LNC009121)". The record is from RNAcentral. Lineage: Eukaryota; Viridiplantae; Streptophyta; Magnoliopsida; Apiales; Araliaceae.